Long non-coding RNA from Camponotus floridanus (Florida carpenter ant), 186 nucleotides. RefSeq lists it as uncharacterized. The record is from RefSeq and is a predicted model, not a curated record. Lineage: Eukaryota; Metazoa; Arthropoda; Insecta; Hymenoptera; Formicidae. The transcript has 2 exons.
AAAUAGGGCUGGUCAAAGAUUAAUGUAUAUUCCUACAUAUAAGGAAUACACUGUGUUACAUGAUUUCUUUACACAGUUUGAGAAUAUAAAAAUAUUUGUAAAGAAAAUUCAUGAAGGAUAAUGGGCUUGUUUGUCAUCAUGCGAUAAAAGCGUGUUGCGAGAUAAUUGGCAUAAAGGAUAUGUAUG